GAGAGGCGGCCGCCGAAUUCGCGAUCUCGCGGAGCCGGGGACCCACAUGUUCCUGGGGUGAAUCGGCGCGCUCCGCUUGAGCGCUCCGUAGGGCACUUCCACGCCCGAACCCGUCAGCUAACCCGGUAGGCGGCAUGGAAGCAAGGA
This 147-nucleotide small RNA is filed under the name Nonomuraea sp. Its description in RNAcentral is "c-di-AMP sequence". It matches the Rfam family "c-di-AMP riboswitch aptamer (ydaO/yuaA leader)". From Rfam's summary of the family: This family represents a conserved RNA structure found upstream of the ydaO and yuaA genes in Bacillus subtilis and related genes in other bacteria. RNAcentral also lists the same sequence under 1 other name. The record is from RNAcentral. Lineage: Bacteria; Bacillati; Actinomycetota; Actinomycetes; Streptosporangiales; Streptosporangiaceae.